GAUGAACGCUGGCGGCGUGCCUAAUACAUGCAAGUCGAGCGAACGGACGAGAAGCUUGCUUCUCUGAUGUUAGCGGCGGACGGGUGAGUAACACGUGGAUAACCUACCUAUAAGACUGGGAUAACUUCGGGAAACCGGAGCUAAUACCGGAUAAUAUUUUGAACCGCAUGGUUCAAAAGUGAAAGACGGUCUUGCUGUCACUUAUAGAUGGAUCCGCGCUGCAUUAGCUAGUUGGUAAGGUAACGGCUUACCAAGGCAACGAUGCAUAGCCGACCUGAGAGGGUGAUCGGCCACACUGGAACUGAGACACGGUACAGACUCCUACGGGAGGCAGCAGUAGGGAAUCUUCCGCAAUGGGCGAAAGCCUGACGGAGCAACGCCGCGUGAGUGAUGAAGGUCUUCGGAUCGUAAAACUCUGUUAUUAGGGAAGAACAUAUGUGUAAGUAACUGUGCACAUCUUGACGGUACCUAAUCAGAAAGCCACGGCUAACUACGUG
RNAcentral lists this ribosomal RNA (497 nucleotides) under uncultured bacterium. Its description in RNAcentral is "partial 16S ribosomal RNA". It matches the Rfam family "Bacterial small subunit ribosomal RNA", at positions 28 to 507 of the family's 1533-position model. The record is from RNAcentral.